RNAcentral lists this ribosomal RNA (1332 nucleotides) under metagenome. RNAcentral's name for it is "bacterial LSU rRNA". It matches the Rfam family "Bacterial large subunit ribosomal RNA", at positions 1581 to 2925 of the family's 2925-position model. The record is from RNAcentral.
UGUACCGAAGUUUCUGAUGUCACACUGCCGAGAAAAGCUUCUAGUUAGAAAACAACGGCCCGUACCGUAAGCCGACACAGGUAGUCGAGGAGAGUAUCCUAAGGUGUGCGAGAGAACUCUCGUUAAGGAACUCGGCAAAAUGACCCCGUAACUUCGGGAGAAGGGGUGCUGUUCGCAAGAACAGCCGCAGUGAAUAGGCCCAAGCGACUGUUUAUCAAAAACACAGGUCUCUGCAAAAUCGAAAGAUGAAGUAUAGGGGCUGACGCCUGCCCGGUGCUGGAAGGUUAAGAGGAGUGCUUAGCGCAAGCGAAGGUACGAAUUGAAGCCCCAGUAAACGGCGGCCGUAACAAUAACGGUCCCAAGGUAGCGAAAUUCCUUGUCGGGUAAGUUCCGACCCGCACGAAAGGCGUAACGAUUUGGGCACUGUCUCAACGAGAGACUCGGUGAAAUUUUAGUACCUGUGAAGAUGCAGGUUACCCGCGACAGGACGGAAAGACCCCAUGGAGCUUUACUGUAAUUUGAUAUUGAGUGUCUGUACCGCAUGUACAGGAUAGGUAGGAGCCGUAGAGAUCGGGACGCUAGUUUCGAUGGAGGCAAUGGUGGGAUACUACCCUUGCGUUAUGGCCACUCUAACCCGCAUCACAAAUCGUGAUGGGAGACAGUGUCAGAUGGGCAGUUUGACUGGGGCGGUCGCCUCCUAAAAGGUAACGGAGGCGCCCAAAGGUUCCCUCAGAAUGGUUGGAAAUCAUUCGUAGAGUGCAAAGGCAAAAGGGAGCUUGACUGCGAGAGCUACAACUCGAGCAGGGACGAAAGUCGGGCUUAGUGAUCCGGUGGUUCCGCAUGGAAGGGCCAUCGCUCAACGGAUAAAAGCUACCCUGGGGAUAACAGGCUUAUCUCCCCCAAGAGUCCACAUCGACGGGGAGGUUUGGCACCUCGAUGUCGGCUCGUCGCAUCCUGGGGCUGUAGUCGGUCCCAAGGGUUGGGCUGUUCGCCCAUUAAAGCGGCACGCGAGCUGGGUUCAGAACGUCGUGAGACAGUUCGGUCCCUAUCCGUCGCGGGCGUUGGAAAUUUGAGAGGAGCUGUCCUUAGUACGAGAGGACCGGGAUGGACUUACCGCUGGUGUACUAGUUGUCUCGCCAGAGGCAUCGCUGGGUAGCUAUGUAGGGAAGGGAUAAACGCUGAAAGCAUCUAAGUGUGAAGCCCACCUCAAGAUGAGAUUUCCCAUUUCUUUAAGAAAGUAAGAUCCCUGAGAGAUGAUCAGGUAGAUAGGUCAGGAGUGGAAGUGCAGCGAUGUACGGAGCGGACUGAUACUAAUCGAUCGAGGACUUAACC